Molecule: ribosomal RNA, 393 nt
Filed under: uncultured bacterium
Lineage: Bacteria
Description: partial 16S ribosomal RNA
Rfam family: Bacterial small subunit ribosomal RNA
Source: RNAcentral
AUACGGAGGACGCGAGCGUUAUCCGGAUUCAUUGGGUUUAAAGGGUGCGCAGGCGGCCGUGCAAGUCAGCGGUGAAAGCCCGGGGCCCAACCCCGGAAGUGCCGUUGAUACUGCAUGGCUUGAAUGCGGUCGAGGCGGGCGGAACGGGGCGUGUAGCGGUGAAAUGCGGGGAUAUGCCACAGAACACCGAUAGCGGAGGCAGCUCGCCAGGCCUGCAUUGACGCUCGGGCACGAAAGCGUGGGGAUCGAACAGGAUUAGAUACCCUGGUAGUCCACGCCGUAAACGAUGGGCGCUCGUCGUCGGCGGCAGACAGUCGGCGGCCAAGCGAAAGCGAUAAGCGCCCCACCUGGGGAGUACGGUCGCAAGGCUGAAACUUAAAGGAAUUGGCGGGG